GCUAGUAAUCGCGGAUCAGAAUGCCGCGGUGAAUACGUUCCCGGGUCUUGUACACACCGCCCGUCACACCAUGGGAGUCGGAAAUGCCCGAAGUCAGUGACCCAACCAUACGGAGGGAGCUGCCGAAGGCAGGUCCGGUAACUGGGGUGAAGUCGUAACAAGGUAGC
RNAcentral lists this ribosomal RNA (167 nucleotides) under uncultured bacterium. RNAcentral describes it as "partial 16S ribosomal RNA". It matches the Rfam family "Bacterial small subunit ribosomal RNA", at positions 1334 to 1500 of the family's 1533-position model. The record is from RNAcentral.